AGAGAGAGAGAGAACGAUGCCCGUCGGCUCCCUUUAUUCGUUAGAGGCUGGCUUUCUCGCUUGAAGCCACGUUGGGAUUUCCAGAAUGUUUACUGGCUCGUCUCAUUGUUGAGAAAUCUUUUCAAUUCGUUAUUACAUUUAUAUAGAAUCUAUAUGAGAAACAGUUAACGUACUGUUAUUGUACGACAGUGGUGCGUUUGUUGUGCAAACGCUUGAAGCCAGUCGCAGUACUGAUUAGUGUAAAUUGAGGACCAAGAGUUUCCAACUGAUUCGCCCAUCAUCUUGACAUUGAAUAAUAACGUGCGCGCUGAAGAUGAUGUUACGCUCGACUGAAGUCAUUAUUUGAGAGAUAAAAAAAAAUGUGGAAACGUAAUCAUGACUUGGAGUAUAUCAAUUAUAACAGAUACAGAAAGUUUCGCACACGAGUAACAAGUGCCUCCACCUAGAACAGAACUCCAAGAGAUAUUUUAAUAAGAAUUCGAGUGACUGUUCGAGUCUCAUAAAAAAAAGGUGAGUCUCCAAUCACGCGUCAUUCCUUCGGAACGGCGUCGUUGACAAGCCUAAUUAUUUUUUCAACCCCGUGUCUCGGUGCGAUCGUUAACACACCUUCUUUUUUCUCAGCAGACGCACCAGGCCUACACUCCGGCACGUUAAAUUUAUCAUCGCUCAACCCUGUUUUGACACAUGGUCGCCGGGCUAGGAUUUUCUCGGCGUCAUAAAUAAUCGUCGCGAAGUGCGCGCGCGCCUUAAUUACGUGCGAGCCAGGGACAAGACGCGACAAACGCUCGACAUAAAUCUACAGAAAUAGAAGGAAGCAAGGAAUACACUCCCGUUGUUACGCGCAACUAUCCGGCGAUGGGUAUGCAUAUAAAGUGAAGCGAGCAAAAGAUAAGAGAACGAAGAAAGUCUGAGACGGAAUGACAGGAGUAGAAGAGAGAGAAAAAAAAUGUAUAUACCGUCCAAGAGUUCCGCAAGGAAAGUCCAAGAGGACAGAAAGAUACACGCGACACGGAUAUGGCCUUUCUAAGCUUCUCUACGUCUAGGCUCGAGGCACGAUCCUCCACCUCUGUCUCCUCUCUUUCAGCUGAUGGUGCUGCUGUUACGGUUGGUGCCUUGAGGACCUGGCCGUCACGUUUAUGGUACCGGGCUGAACGCCAUCUUGAAAAAUUCUCUCCUUAACUCAUCCGCCAAAGGAUUCCCCCCAAACUGGUUCCAUCCAUGAGGACACGGGGAGCAAAUUCCAUGGGACUUAUAAUCCGGCUUUAAAGGACCCGCCAUUUGGAUGCUUAUAAAUUCAACGGUGAAAUAAUUUGUUACUCUUAACCAGUACGACGCACCGGAAGUCACUUUCUACUCCGAUGAUCCUCCUCUCCACAAUUCCAUAAAAGUAUUUACGUAUCGUGCUCAUUCUCAAGAUCCGGAGAGCCCGCGAGGAAUUAUUGUUAUUAAGUGAAGUCCUGGACAGGAUGCUAGUCCCGGUACCGGAAGUGGCCGUGCACGAUUCUGACCCCGAAGAGUCUCGGCACGGUCGUCCAGUACAAGAGAGGUAAAAUGCAGAUAAAAGAGAAGGACUUCGCGGGAAGUACCAUAUGGAUAGCAAAGAAACACCGUCCGUCGAACAGGAUGGAUAUACGUUUAUGCAUACAUCGUUAUUGGUGCUUUACACGUAACGUUCGCGUACGAGGUAUAGUAACGCCCACGUGCCGCAUAAAGGCGCGCACACAAGUGCGUGGCCUCGACAGACAGAAGAGGCGACCGUGACCCGGAAGCGUCUACAAUCCAAAGGUAACAAAAAUGGCCGGCGAGCCAUAAUGGCAAGGAAGCCAUUAUUAGGGAGCAUGCGACCGCAAUUAAAUGGUGGAUCUUGCGGGCUGCUUCGAAAUUUCGUACAAACGAGUGAAUUAUGUGUUCCGCGGCUGUCCCGGGAAGAGAGAACGAGGCGCAGCGGAAAUACAGCGGAUGGAAAGGGGCCGCCAACCGCGUCUUUACGGCUCUCGGUGCGAGUAGCGUUGAUAUCAGGGAAGCUGCGGUUUUGCCGGGACCGUAAGAGCGACGAAGAGGACGAAGGAGGAGGACAAACGAGUCGGUCUCCACGAAGACCCUCUUCUUUUCUUUUGACUCUUUGGACGUGCUUUGCGUCCUCCGGCUUGUCAGAGCGUGUCCCUCUACCGGUAGUCACAGUAGUGACAGGCCGAAAAGAAAGGCAAACUGCGUGUAAAUUAUUGUAUUCGAACCAUCAGCAGCCUCCGUAGUCGUACGCGCCUCCUCGAUAUUAAAUCUCACACGAGCCAACGUCCAAGUUUUCGCUCUGCUAACCAGCGAAGUACUGAAACUGUACUGAAUAACGAAGACACGUAUAUGGAAAAAGUGAAAAUCGUCCUGGCUUUCCUAACAAUCGAGAAGACAGCGAUACGUCUGUUUGCAAAGUGUAAAAAGCUUGUAUGCUACAUAUACCAAACACGUAUACACGUUGGUGGGCGUGGGUCAUAUGGGCGCGUACACACGUCGCCAAGAGAUGGCAGGUGUCGAGCCGUGAUUCGCUGGUGCAGUUUCGAAGCGCGAGAGAGUCGGAGAGAACAAGAGGAAAAUAAAGGAAAGCGACAGUAGCUGUAUGGAGAAAAAGCGGAAGUCGGGUCAACGGAAGAUAAUGAUAUCCUCCCGCUUACCGUUUUCACGCCAAAGUGAAAAGACUUCGUCGCGCCCAACGCCGAAGUCCUGGAUGCGCCUACUUUCUCCCUGCGAGAGAACUCGAAGUCGAGCCUUCGAUAUUUCAUAGGUCGGCAAGAGCCGUCCUGCGGCGCGAUGACGAAGGUCCACUGCAAAGUGGACGAUCGAUCGGCGACGUUCAUAGGAAACGGGAGUCGUCCAAUCGCCUGGCGAUUAAAAUAGAAAUGUGGAUAGGGCUUUAACUAGGAAGCCGUGCCAUAGAGCUAUCGAGUACUAAGUCACUCGCCGGCAAGCUCGACUCUCUCGGGUAUGUCGACCUAGAACGUGUACGUAGCUCUGGGCGAGGCGGCGCCAUAACUGUAGCAAUGAGAAUCUCCGUGAGAGAUUGUUUUCUUUUCAAAAUCACACCCGGGCAAAAUCUUACGUAAAUACAACCUUCGGGGAAUAGACGAAAAAAAAUGUUAUUUCGAAUUUAUCCAAAAGGACUUAUAUUUCUGAACAAAAAAAAUCCAUCCGUUACACGUGUCGGUGCGUUCCUCGUAAUCUCGUGUACGAUAAAGAUUUUUUAAUGGUCCCGCCAUUAAAAAAUUUAUCCACGAGGAAGGCUGUUCCGUAAAUGAUCCUACGAAAUAGGUUUAUCAGAAGAUCGUUACUAGAUCUUUCGUAGGCGCGUGUUCUGUGUCCUUCUGCUUUUCUAUUUACUCGUAAGACACUUCCACGAGUCUCCUACUCUCGGACGCAAUUCUCUCCCGAAGCGUAUCUAACGGUACGGAUGCUGCGCUACGCGUAGUUGGUAGUCGCCAUAUGUAUGUACGUAUAUAUAUAGAAACAUGAAAGCGAUUUUCUGCGUAUUAUCCUCGAGAUAAACACUGCGUACCAAUAGGUACAGGCCGAGGCCUUUGGGCGAGCCACCAUAAAGCGACUGCGACCGGCUAUGCGACUUCUCGUUUAUCAUAAAGCCGAGAAGUUACAGAAAGAGUCGAGCAACCGGUUCGACGAUCGGUUCAAUGGGUUUUUCAUACGAGGACAAAUUUAUCUUACGUUACAUUAGCUGCUACGCCUAAUUCGAUUAAGAUAUAGAACAUAACCGAGAAAUGACAUCCACGUGGGAAUCUGAUAUUAAUAUUGAUUUAUGAAAGUCUAUAGGACACUGCAGAUAUCUGUGUUGAAUUUUUCAAUGUUUAAUCAUUUUUUUAUACCCGUAGGGAGACCGCUCGGUGGACUGGAUUCUUGAGAGAAAGAUGGCUGCCCUGGACAGUGGUCGAGUCAGGUGCCAUCAUCAAGGGCGCCGUUCGCCAAAAGAAACAGGAUGCCGUCGUGAAUGGAUACCAGAUUGACCGAUGGUUAAUCAAGGAGAAAUUACCAGAUUAAAUGUCCGGCAAUACCUUUGUACCCGUGGACUGAAAUCAUAACGACGGAUGCUGGAUGAAUUUCCUGUGAAACCGUUCCACGGCCGAUAACGAGACAACGUGGGAUUGGAUAAUGAGCAAUUAUGGCUGGAAUAUUCGUGGGUCCACACUGGCAGAAAAUCAUGGAGGGAAAUUUAAAUGACACUUCUCGAUGGGCAUUCGAAAAUUUCUCUCGCGUCACGCCCGUCGUCUGCUCCUCGUGUACACACAAUUGUCUGACAGAAAAUUGGCCGAGCUCCUUCGACCCACCGAUAAUUCAUGUUUUCGCUGUUGGUACGGCACUGAACGUCACCCGUCGCCCGGGACUGACCAAUGGAGAGGCGGUACCGCGGAUCCGGGUGUCUACCCCACCUUCCUCUUCGGCUUCGCUCCUUGGAGAACGGUCGGUCAGAUAGACAGACGUACGGACGGCAUCAAAGAACCUACGGCCGAAUCUAAUAAUGUUGAACGACCGAUCGACCUGUCGACCGGUCGACUUUUACAUUUAAACUACCUAUGUGCCUGUCAAUUAUAUAACGGCUUACGCUCGACUGUAGCCAUGAUGCCACCUGUCUGAGUCUUGUAUAAGAAAAACGGUCAAAGACCCCAUGAUGUUCUCUGGUGAUAUAUUUCUUGUCUUACUUCUUGGAAAUUAUUCAAUUUUAUGUAUUAUUAUUCCCAUUGUCGUUUCAGAGAUGCUGUGCACAUCCCGGGACUAUUGUAUGCUGUCAUACGUAAGAGGAGACCUCGCGCGAUAUUGAUUAGGAGUAUCAAGCUUUUUAAAGUCGCGAUAACAGGCUCAUCGAUUGAUACAGCUUUAACGAGUUGUCCUUUGUUAAUGACUUGGAAUACACGAGGCUUGUAAGCAGUGCUCCUUGGGAAGAGGCAAGGUCGAGCUGGGAACGGCACGAAUUUCAUUCAUUCAUGAAACUAGUAGGUUGCUAAAGGUAUUAUGUGCAUACGCGUGCUUUACCAGAUAUACGGCUUUGGUAUAUAUGCAAUGGAUGGAUAGAUGUAUAUAUAUAUAAAGUACAUGGGUAAGGAGCACUUGGUAGAAAUCGAGCAAUCUGAUAAUGCUUGUUAACCGGGACGUCGUGUUAUCUCUUAUCGGUCGGUAAAUCCGGAUAGAAUUCAUAGUUACUUAAAGACUAAUGUGAUAUUUAUCUUAUUGAUUAAUCAGCGAUCCAUUGUGAACGAGGGAGUGUGGAAAUUUUUUGUGAUUUUGUGACUGUCCAAAAAUUGAGGUUAUCAACAAGUUCCUGGAUGAUGCGCUGGGACUUCUUAAUGGUGUUGACCCACUUGUUAUCUGAUAUCGUUGAGCUGUUUUAUAUUUAGGUAUGAUAUUGUUUUAUCUAUUUAAGGAUAUCCUUCGCCGAAGAUCUAUUUUUGUGGAUCUUGACAAGAGCUAUGACUAGGGCGAUUUUCGCACUGCUAAGAGUUUUAGUAUUUUUAAAUUGACUAUUGUUGGAACUGGCUGUACGUACCGAGUUCUCGCUAACUCGUUAUCGUUAUUGCUUUCCGAGCUAUUAUGGAUUUGCGGGUCAAUGCACUUUCUUUGAGAAUGCACCGUGUACCUUUGUGUUUAUGUUAUUGACUUUAAUUUGAUAUUUAUCAUUAAGUCAAUGCUCGUUACCGCCUAUGCAUGUACGAAAGAUCUUGGAUGACUCAUAUGUGCAUUCUUUGACCUCACUCGAAACCACCUACACUUGGUAACACCUACACCUGCUACGUCACUAGAAAGUGGAGACAUCCUUGUUGAUUAAAGAGGAAAAAAAAGGAAUUAAGUUACAUAAUUUUUUAGCACGUGAAAAUAAUACAUUAAGAAUGAAAGUCCAUUCAAUUACUUCGAGUAAAUUAAUUCUGCUGGUCUAAUCUGACCUGAAUGACUGUACGUUUUCUUUUUUUCAUAUUUCAGUUAAUCACGCAAAUAUCGAUCGCUGUGCGGCUAUUAUUUUGCUCGCACGAGAGUUCGUUGCGUCUGUUUACAAGAAAGUACAUCCGUACCGAAGAUAAGAUAAAAGGUUAAAUCCACCAAUAAAUGAAAACCUUUAGAAACGCCUGUAAUGGAUGGACAUCCGUGUUAACGUUCAUAUGUAUACAGAUAUAAUGUACGUGAACGCAGCCAUAUACUGGGUCCUGUGUUCAUUCACUGGUGAAGUCGCCCUCAUUACUUAAUAAGGUUAAAUAUUGUAUAAGCUAACAAGAAGAUAAUCUUGACGAGACAAACCUAAAAUAGUUUCCACUGAAUUAGCAAGGAACAAUGACGAUGGAUGUCUGAGAUUGAGUUUAACGUGCAUACCAGAGAUGGGAACUGUGAAGCAGCCUUAAUGGUUAGCAUUGUGAAGUUAACUGUGUAAACGGGUGUAUAGGUAUUUUUGCCAGUCUCGUAUAAACGAAGAGCUCUUGGAAUAGAGCGAAGUGCCGUCGGAAGAGGUCUGUGUGAAAUAAGAGAAUUGUUCCGUGAGGCCGUUGGCCAGUAAGAAGGAAGAAGAAGAGUGCGCAGGGUUCGUAUUUGACGAGAAGUAAGGUACGUUGGAAUUGCUGCGAGCCGCGAGCUAUUUCGUCGUCAAUAAAUGUAUUUCGAGAAGCUGUCGAGAAGGAGAAAAAUAAAAAGCAGGAGCAAAGGUAAGAAAGACACGGAAAGAGAAGCCCCAUCGACGGGAGGUUAUGUAGGAACUAGAAUAGCUCCUUGUUAUUACUCUACAAUUUCAAAGAGAGUGCUUUGUUCGUGGAUACUGUGCGUGGCGCUUUUUUGCGGCCAUUCCGCAGCGGUGGUACCGCUCGCGAAGCUAGGAGGGCGCUUAUGGCUGCCAGCGGGCAAUCAUAAUUUCUACGGGUUUGAACGCAAGGGAAUUGCCCGGCUGGAAUUGCACUGGCAAAGUACGGAUAGUGCCCGUAGUAUAUAGGGUGUAUCGUAAAUACGGUUAACGACUUUUGAAUAUGAAACAAUAUGUAAAAUCCUUUCUGAAUGAGUCACUAAGAAUUAUUGAAACUUCAUACGGUUGGUCAAAUUACGGAUGCCGUCGGUUGACUAACGAGUCUGAAUGGUAUGCGCGCGGAAUUUGAAUAUUUCCGUUAUUCAAUCCUGCGCAUGCGCACAUCGGGAAAUGCGCAAUCCAAUCAGAUUUAUUUCUAUUAUACGACUCGAGGAAGCCAAAGGAUUUCGGUGCCGGCGACGCUUCACGGAAUAUACGAGAACUUAAAGGUAAUUCGGUCGUUUCCGGUUAAGGAGAGUAAAGGAGCACGCGCGAGAAAUAUAAUGCGGGAAAGAGAGACGGAGAAAGAGAGUGGAAACCCGUUAAGCAGGAACUAGCCGGAUUAAUGGAACGCGUGAAAGACGAGCGGAGGUGAAUGGUAUCCAAAACAAAGCUUAUGUAACGCGAGCGAGUCGCAGGUGAAUGGGCAACGAGAGAAAAUGUCCGGAGUCCGAAGAAAUCUGCCGGCGACGUGAGAUGAAUAAAUAAAAUUCAAUAAGAUUCGCGUAAAGUCAAUAAAAAAGUAUUCCGCUCAAUUGUCAUACCGAAGUGCGAAGCUUUAAUCCGCUUGUGAAUUCUCGCACGUAGAAAACGUGUCCCACUGUGGAUAUGUGACAUUCCACCGCGGAAACAAUGCACACACGAUUAACAAGACCAACCUCGUUAUUUUAGCUUAUAAAUAUGGCGCCGACAGAAUAUCACAGAGGGAACACACAGGUUGUGCACUUGUGCAGUAGCGCGUUGCCAUAGUCGCAGUGCGCUGCAUGAACCUGGCCAAAAAGGAAUAAAGUUACCAGUCUAAACCAGUACCACGCUGAAGGAAAGGUCGAUCGUUGGAAAAAAAUAGCGAUUUUUCUGUGACCUGUAGUGCACAGGUGUAUCUACGUAAGCGCCAUUGCUUUUUCACGCAGUACAUACAUAAUGCAUGAAUAUAAAGUAAAUGCAUAAAUAUAUAAAGAGAGUCAUAAAGGAUAGUAAAGUAAAAGCCGAACCCUACAGCCUACAUCGAUUGACGCUUUAUUGCUUUUUAUCAGCCAUUUUAUUCUGCCGCUGGCACCCUUAAAGAGAGAGAGAAUAUACGAAUCAAGAAGUUAUUACGUCCGCCGUUUAAGUAUGCCUUUUGAAGAGAAACCACAGUUUACUUUUCUUCAGGUUUAACCUCAAACAGAAUUUUCUGGAAUUGCAGGAUACGGAUGUUUUCUGAAUACGUUAAAAAAUAUCGUAAAUUAAAAUAUGAGAUUUAACAAACAACAAAGACGAUACAGCUUGACAAGAAUGCUUAUUUAGAAUUUCAAUGGCGUUCGAAAAUCUAUCGAAUUCUAAGCCUCAGGACGCGCAGUCCAUUCUAGCUAAAGUUUUAAAGGUUAUGUCAGCAGUUCGUGUCGUAGCAAAAUAACGAAGUGACGCGUAGACGCACUAAAAAGAGGCAGCGUUAAAGAAUAAAUAAAAGAAAAAGAAAACAGGCUAUCGUCAUUCAUCGAGGAUUAUGCGUCAGAGCAUUAGCACGCUAGAGAUAUAAUAACGUCGAACGACCAAUACCUGUACGAAGGUAUAAGCAUAAUCCGAGUGUCGAGACGGAGACCAAUCCUUAGAAAACACGUUUGCACAGGGAAGAGUUUUGAGCAUAAAGUGAGAGUGAGCAAACAAAACGAAAUAUCAAUUUAAAGCACAGGAAAAUAUGACGGCCUCGCGAAUAACGUCAAUCGGGAUGCGCGCGCAGACGCUGGCGGCGAUUUAAACGAGAAAGCCUGAGAGUGACGCGAAUUCGGCUGCGAAACGUAAAAAACAAAAUGCCAAUAUUCCCAAUGACGUACAAGAAAUUUCUUCUUGAGUACUGCUAAAUAUUCGACGCUUCUAUUAAUAUUUUUAUUUAAUAUACUUUUUGUUCAUCGUUAUUCUAACUGCGCAUGCGCGCCACCAGCUUCUUUACGAUACGAACGCGUAUCGUUGGCAUCGAUUAAUAAACAUGCCUGUGGUUCCUUUACGCAAUUCGACCUGUCCGUUACGUCAUUCUAGUUAUCGACUAAAGAUCUAUCGAGUCCCCGUCGUACCAGUGCCUUCCACUACCGUGAUUCUAGCCGAUUGCGAUUGAUCGAUGAACAAGGAACGAGAAUGACUUGCAAUUGGUACCAAAACAAUGCAGUAUCCUGCUACGCCUUUUGCAUCACAUUGUAGGUUACACGCACUACGUUACAAACAGUUAUUAACACACGAGCACUGUCAGUCCCUGCUACUGUAUUAACGUAACCUUAAAACACGAGCAGCUAAGUACACAGAUACUGAUAAUGGCCAAACAUAUUCAGAUGCGUAAAAGGAGACACGUCUAGACACCACGUGAUUCAAAGUAACGAAUGAAUUCUAAAAGGACGACUAAAAAUAAAAAACAACAAGUCAUCAAGAAUAUCUGACAAUCCAGGAAAUGAUAUUCUCCCGGAUAUACAGACACACGGUGCAUUGCGUAUUUCAGUAGGCAGUAACAGCAGCAACACUAGUGGCAGUCUAGGAGUCAACAGACCAAAGAGUGUAGCAAUCCGAGUGGAGUUUUUCCCCAUUCUAUGAAGCAACGAGCUACCAGGUCCCAACCUACAGUUACCCGCCACCUUAAUGACUCCAAGUGAUACCCACGUUGUAUUCUCACAUAAUUCCAGCGCAUCGUCUAUCCUGUCUGACGUGGAUUGAAGACUUGGUGGGAAAUAUAGGUUAUGUUACCACCGAGAGAACUCGUCAUAGCAGACAUCUGAUGGCAGGUACGUAAGGUAUACCAAGGACGUUUAUCCUCCUAGAGGUCAAUCUCUUCUGCACAGGGAUCUUACGAGGAUGAUUACCCACAUGAAAAACAGUCACGAGGUUGGACCGUGACGAGUCUACGUCAGGAUACACAGAAGAAACCGAAGGCUCCCGGCCGUUAAAUCGCACAAUGAAUAAAUCAUAUCGACUCGAACCAGGAAGCCCGGUCGAGACCGAAAUCGGAGGUUGCGAUCUGGUGAGAUCGUAGAUCUGAAUACCAGAUUACACGGCACACGAGCACUACUUGUUAUUAUGAAUGAUGGUGGUAUAUGCCACGACGUAGUAUACGUUAUACAUAUGAUAUCCAGAUACUUAGAGGACAGGGACGCCCAUUAAAAUAAUUACGACGCCCGCGCCAAGAUCGACGCUUAGUUCUUUCGGUAUAACACGAGUCUGUCAAGACUCAUUCCGUAAUGUUUUGUACCUGGUUACGAACUCACCGCAGGACACUCAGGAACGUUGGAGCAGCACAAAGGAUUUUUUCUCGCAGACACGAACGCGACCACGUAGAUCGGCGGGCACCUUUCGCGGAAGCGAUUGGCGAUCCCACGUAUAGGAUAGGACCGAUCAACAGAACUCCACGUACGGCCGAGCGCAGAUAACCCGGCUGAUCUUGAUCUUGAUGCUUGGAGUGAAUCACCGAAGGAUAAAACAACAGAGCGAACGGAUCGGACGGGCCAGCUGUGUCUCGUGUAAAAGAUUUUAAGAGCGAAGCGCCGGUGCGCGAGCCGAUAGAGGAGGACGUGGCACGAGCAUGAAUAAAAGUGAGGAGCGGCAACGGAAGGCGAGGAAAUGGAGGACGAUUUACGGCUCUCCAGGUAGCUGAAAGUCGUCAUCAGCGAACCGUAGCGAGGAACACCCGACAGGCGAUUCCACGCUGCGAAAAUCGCCCCAGGAGUCUGCCUCGCUCAUACGUACCUAUACCCACGUGUACAGUACACGCCAGCUAUACCUGUUACAUGAGUUAAGGUAGUUUCAUCGGUUGAUCGCACGGAUGAACACGCGUCUCACAGUGGUUCGAGAUUCCUCCCGAUAUCCAUCUUCGGUCCAGGCAUCGCCAUUGGCUCAUCGAUGCACAGGGUGGAUCAUACGUGGGUCCUGUCCGCGUUGAUGCACCCUGACGUGCCAUACAAUCCGGUACGCGGGGCUGUGAGAGCGAUCCCGGAUGCACCGGCUAACUCUUGUUCGAACUCGCAUUAUAUUCGCCACAUGUUGCGCCGACAUAAAGCAUCCUCCGAACCGACGUGCCUUGGCAGCACGAUCCCUGUAAUGGUGAGGGACGUAUGUAUUAGGGAGAAUCGCGCCGAGGACAAAGCUGAAAGAAUAUUGUGCGCCAGGGAGAAAGAGUGAGAGAGAGAGAGAGGAUGAAGGGGGCAGCAGGGGGAGAGAGAGAGAGAGAGAGAGAGAGAGAGUGCGAGAGUGGAAGAGCGAAAGAACGAAGCCCACGCAUGACUGGUCGUCUAGACUUGUACUCUAAGAAAAGGGCGGACCUUUAUUUUUUCUUAAAUAACCUUGCGUACAUGCUGGCUGGUCUCUUGAGGAACCCUGCGACGAAGGAUCUUCUUGAUCGAACUGUUAUCGAUAUAGCUUUAAAAAGGUGCGAUGAUCAUAUGCAGUCCAGGCGUAACACUGGAAUCUGAUGCGCAAGUGAGACGAAGCUGAGCAUUAUUUUCUCUAGUACCUUUACACGGCGUAGAGAAAACUUAUGCAGUAUUUUUUUUCUUACUAGCGAAAUUCAUUAAAAUCCAAUGGAUGAGUAUCUGCUUGAUUAACGAGGGUGUCGGAUGUUUUUUAAAUAAUCAUGAAUCACGAUAAGUUCCUGUUAAGGGCAUAGUAGGCGGUAUAAGAUGUAUAGUACUGUGCAUACGUAGAUAUACGCAUGCGCGUUAAUGGAUGGAUAAAAGAAUCUCUUCGGUGCUCGGAAUAAUCGAUGGGUCGAAUCAUUGAUGCGUAGAGGAAGUGAAGGAAUCGAAGGGAGGGAGGGAGGGGAAAGGGGGGGAGGGGAGGGAAGAGGCAAUUACGCCCAGUCGGGAUUUGCUUGUUCACCAGGAUGCCUGACUGCCGGCACGUAUAUACGUAGCUACGUGGCGUGGUCGGUUGCGUGCGUGCGUUCGAUUUAUCAAAGUCGAUUUGCCGAUGCGUGACGUCAUCGCGAUAACAGUUCUCCUGGGACGUUGAUUACGCAUUUUUAUUUAGUCGUGCCUUUAUCGGCCACUUCCGCUCUUGCGCUUAGCGGACGUUAAUUCGAGUUGAAUUAUAAAUAUCGGGACUUUGAACUCUAUUGCGAUUAAUAUCGUCAUCCCGGCUUACCUAGUUGAUCGGUAUGUUGAAGAAAGGACGGUUGUAAAUACAUUUCGGAGAUCCUUUAUGGGCUUGUCUCGGAUAUUCGGAAUACGUGAGACGGUUUAAUAGAAAUUACGAUUGAAUGAAACUUUAUAAUUGUUUACGUGCGAGUUUCAUUGGCGUCGAUCAAU
Molecule: long non-coding RNA, 12291 nt
Organism: Cephus cinctus (wheat stem sawfly)
Lineage: Eukaryota; Metazoa; Arthropoda; Insecta; Hymenoptera; Cephidae
Exons: 11
Source: RefSeq, a predicted model, not a curated record